UUACCGAUGACGGGAGAGACUGGCCGCAGGAGGCCGGCGCCGAAGGAGCAACCGCCCCGGAAACUCUCAGGCCAAAGGACCGACAUCGGCUG
Molecule: non-coding RNA, 92 nt
Filed under: Neoasaia chiangmaiensis
Lineage: Bacteria; Pseudomonadati; Pseudomonadota; Alphaproteobacteria; Acetobacterales; Acetobacteraceae
Description: Glycine sequence
Rfam family: Glycine riboswitch aptamer
About the family: This family represents the bacterial glycine riboswitch. Glycine riboswitches usually consist of two metabolite-binding aptamers domains with similar structures in tandem. The aptamers cooperatively bind glycine to regulate the expression of downstream genes.
Source: Rfam by way of RNAcentral